UAACCUUGCGAAAGUAAGACUAAUACCCAAUGAUAUCUCUAGAAGACAUCUGAAAGAGAUUAAAGAUUUAUCGGUGAUGGAUGGGGAUGCGUCUGAUUAGCUUGUUGGCGGGGUAACGGCCCACCAAGGCGACGAUCAGUAGGGGUUCUGAGAGGAAGGUCCCCCACAUUGGAACUGAGACGCGGUCCAAACUCCUACGGGAGGCAGCAGUGAGGAGUAUUGGUCAAUGGACGAGAGUCUGAACCAGCCAAGUAGCGUGCAGGAUGACGGCCCUAUGGGUUGUAAACUGCUUUUAUAAGGGAAUAAAGUGAGUCUCGUGAGACUUUUUGCAUGUACCUUAUGAAUAAGGACCGGCUAAUUCCGUGCCAGCAGCCGCGGUAAUACGGAAGGUCCGGGCGUUAUCCGGAUUUAUUGGGUUUAAAGGGAGCGUAGGCCGGAGAUUAAGCGUGUUGUGAAAUGUAGACGCUCAACGUCUGCACUGCAGCGCGAACUGGUUUCCUUGAGUACGCACAAAGUGGG
Molecule: ribosomal RNA, 519 nt
Filed under: uncultured bacterium
Lineage: Bacteria
Description: bacterial SSU rRNA
Rfam family: Bacterial small subunit ribosomal RNA
Source: RNAcentral